AUUGAACGCUGGCGGCAUGCCUUACACAUGCAAGUCGAACGGUAACGGGCCUUCGGGUGCCGACGAGUGGCGCACGGGUGAGUAAUACAUCGGAACGUGCCCGAUCGUGGGGGAUAACGGUGCGAAAGCUUUGCUAAUACCGCAUACGAUCUACGGAUGAAAGCAGGGGACCGCAAGGCCUUGCGCGGACGGAGCGGCCGAUGGCAGAUUAGGUAGUUGGUGGGAUAAAAGCUUACCAAGCCGACGAUCUGUAGCUGGUCUGAGAGGAUGAUCAGCCACACUGGGACUGAGACACGGCCCAGACUCCUACGGGAGGCAGCAGUGGGGAAUUUUGGACAAUGGGCGCAAGCCUGAUCCAGCCAUGCCGCGUGCAGGAUGAAGGCCUUCGGGUUGUAAACUGCUUUUGUACGGAACGAAAAGCCUUCUUUUAAUACAGGAGGGUCAUGACGGUACCGUAAGAAUAAGCACCGGCUAACUACGU
This 481-nucleotide ribosomal RNA is filed under the name uncultured bacterium. RNAcentral describes it as "partial 16S ribosomal RNA". It matches the Rfam family "Bacterial small subunit ribosomal RNA", at positions 30 to 506 of the family's 1533-position model. The record is from RNAcentral.